Molecule: ribosomal RNA, 1045 nt
Filed under: uncultured Cellulomonas sp.
Lineage: Bacteria; Bacillati; Actinomycetota; Actinomycetes; Micrococcales; Cellulomonadaceae
Description: bacterial SSU rRNA
Rfam family: Bacterial small subunit ribosomal RNA
Source: RNAcentral
AUUCCUACGGGAGGCAGCAGUGGGGAAUAUUGCACAAUGGGCGAAAGCCUGAUGCAGCGACGCCGCGUGGGGGAUGAAGGCCUUCGGGUUGUAAACCCCUUUCAGCAGGGAAGAAGCGAAAGUGACGGUACCUGCAGAAGAAGCGCCGGCUAACUACGUGCCAGCAGCCGCGGUAAUACGUAGGGCGCAAGCGUUGUCCGGAAUUAUUGGGCGUAAAGAGCUCGUAGGCGGUCUGUCGCGUCUGCUGUGAAAACCCGAGGCUCAACCUCGGGCCUGCAGUGGGUACGGGCAGACUAGAGUGCGGUAGGGGAGACUGGAAUUCCUGGUGUAGCGGUGGAAUGCGCAGAUAUCAGGAGGAACACCGAUGGCGAAGGCAGGUCUCUGGGCCGCAACUGACGCUGAGGAGCGAAAGCAUGGGGAGCGAACAGGAUUAGAUACCCUGGUAGUCCAUGCCGUAAACGUUGGGCACUAGGUGUGGGGCUCAUUCCACGAGUUCCGUGCCGCAGCAAACGCAUUAAGUGCCCCGCCUGGGGAGUACGGCCGCAAGGCUAAAACUCAAAGGAAUUGACGGGGGCCCGCACAAGCGGCGGAGCAUGCGGAUUAAUUUGAUGCAACGCGAAGAACCUUACCAAGGCUUGACAUCCGCGGAACUCGGCAGAAAUGCCUUGGUGCUUCGGAUCGCGAGACAGGUGCUGCAGGCUGUCGUCAGCUCGUGUCGUGAGAUGUGGUAAGUCCCGCAACGAGCGCACCUGUCUUAGUUGCCAUCAUUCAGUGGAACUCUAAGGAGACCGCCGGUGACAAACCGGAGGAAGGUGGGGAUGACGUCAAGUCAUCAUGGCCCUUAUGGCCAGGGCUACACACGUGCUACAAUGGGCGGUACAAAGGGUUGCCAACCCGCGAGGGGGAGCCAAUCCCAAAAAGCCGUUCGUAGUCCGGAUCGGAGUCUGCAACUCGACUCCGUGAAGUCGGAAUCGCUAGUAAUCGCAGAUCAGCAUUGCUGCGGUGAAUACGUUCCCGGGCCUUGUACACACCGCCAUCCAUAUGA